UGAAAGCACUAAGAAGGGACUCCCAUU
RNAcentral lists this non-coding RNA (27 nucleotides) under Rattus norvegicus (Norway rat). The record is from RNAcentral. Lineage: Eukaryota; Metazoa; Chordata; Mammalia; Rodentia; Muridae.